RNAcentral lists this long non-coding RNA (347 nucleotides) under Selaginella moellendorffii. RNAcentral describes it as "long non-coding RNA (SMOE_LNC001563)". The record is from RNAcentral. Lineage: Eukaryota; Viridiplantae; Streptophyta; Lycopodiopsida; Selaginellales; Selaginellaceae.
AUAACCUUUCAUUAACGUUAACAUGGGGGCUUUGCCCGCGCAGGUUCGAAUCCUGCCGUUCACUAAAAGCUUCUUAUGCUUAUUAAUGAAAGUGGUUAAUUAGAUAGGCAAACACGUUCCAAUGAGAACUAGGCAGUGGUGGCUGUCUGGACAAUCACUGUCUUUAGAGCACUGUGCAGUAACCCCAAGGAGCUUUCUAGUGACAAUGUCAUUCUUGCCUGAAAGUUUUGUUAGAAAAACUUAUGGUUAGAGAUUUAAAUUUUUAUUUACCUAUUGCAAGGGCCAUUGAAACCAUUAAAGAGAUGAACAAAAGUUGCAAAACUAUUGUUGAGAGCUGAAUCUUUGCC